CAUCGAUGGAUCAUUUCCAAUCAAUGACUAUUGAAUAAACGGAAUCCUAAAUAUUCUUGAUAACAUUGAUUCUAAUUCUUGUUUGCAUUUUCAUAUCCCGACCUGAUGAUAACUCAACAUUGACGAUCAUCGAUGGAUCAUUUCCAAUCAAUGACAAUUGAAUAAACGAUCAUCGAUGGAUCAUCCC
Long non-coding RNA from Dermatophagoides pteronyssinus (European house dust mite), 187 nucleotides. The record is from RefSeq and is a predicted model, not a curated record. Lineage: Eukaryota; Metazoa; Arthropoda; Arachnida; Sarcoptiformes; Pyroglyphidae.